UACGAAGGGGGCUAGCGUUACUCGGAUUGACUGGGCGUAAAGGGCGCGUAGGCGGCUUGUACAGUCAGACGUGAAAUUCCUGGGCUCAACCUGGGGGCUGCGUUUGAUACGUGCGGACUUGAGUGCGGAAGAGGGUCGUGGAAUUCCCAGUGUAGAGGUGAAAUUCGUAGAUAUUGGGAAGAACACCGGUGGCGAAGGCGGCGACCUGGUCCGAUACUGACGCUGAGGCGCGAAAGCGUGGGGAGCAAACAGG
RNAcentral lists this ribosomal RNA (253 nucleotides) under uncultured bacterium. RNAcentral describes it as "partial 16S ribosomal RNA". It matches the Rfam family "Bacterial small subunit ribosomal RNA", at positions 524 to 776 of the family's 1533-position model. The record is from RNAcentral.